UUCGAUUCGAGCGCAGCGAGAAAGCGUUGCCGCAGGCAACGACCCGAAGGGCGAAGCGCGCAGCGCUGAGUAAUCCUUCCCCCACCACCA
RNAcentral lists this small RNA (90 nucleotides) under Salmonella enterica. Its description in RNAcentral is "partial RtT sRNA". It matches the Rfam family "RtT RNA", at positions 42 to 130 of the family's 130-position model. Rfam says of the family: This family represents a bacterial cis-regulatory element known as RtT RNA. RNAcentral also lists the same sequence under 2 other names. The record is from RNAcentral. Lineage: Bacteria; Pseudomonadati; Pseudomonadota; Gammaproteobacteria; Enterobacterales; Enterobacteriaceae.